RNAcentral lists this ribosomal RNA (1759 nucleotides) under Lynnella semiglobulosa. RNAcentral describes it as "SSU rRNA". It matches the Rfam family "Eukaryotic small subunit ribosomal RNA". The record is from RNAcentral. Lineage: Eukaryota; Ciliophora; Spirotrichea; Choreotrichida; Lynnellidae.
AACCUGGUUGAUCCUGCCAGUAGUCAUAUGCUUGUCUCAAAGACUAAGCCAUGCAUGUCUAAGUAUAAGAGUUAUACUCGAAACUGCGAAUGGCUCAUUAAAACAGUUAUAGUUUAUUUGAUAAUCAAAUUUACAUGGAUAACCGUGGUAAUUCUAGAGCUAAUACAUGCAAUUAGGCACGACUUAUGGAAGCGCUGUAUUUAUUAGAUAACAAACCGAUAUUCCUUUGGUCUAUUGAGGUGAAUCAUAGUAACUGAUCGAAUCGUGGCGUGCCGCGAUAAAUCAUUCAAGUUUCUGACCCAUCAGCUGUCGAUGGUAGUGUAUUGGACUACCAUGGCUUUUACGGGUGACGGAGGAUUAGGGUUCGAUUCCGGAGAGGGAGCCUGAGAAACGGCUACCACAUCUAAGGAAGGCAGCAGGCGCGUAAAUUACCCAAUCCCGACUCGGGGAGGUAGUGACAAGAAAUAACGGACCGGGUCUUCGAUCCGGGAUUGCAAUGAGUUAAAUCCAAAUCCCUUUGCGAAAUCGAUUGGAGGGCAAGUCUGGUGCCAGCAGCCGCGGUAAUUCCAGCUCCAAUAGCGUAUAUUAAAGUUGUUGCAGUUAAAAAGCUCGUAGUUGGAUUUCUGGGGGGCGCAGAUUGUCCGCAGACGCGUGUGCAGAUGCGCCCUUUCAUCCUUCUGUUAACGUCUCUUGACAUUCAUUUGUUGGUGGCGGGCUCAGAUAUUUUACCUUGAGAAAAUUAGAGUGUUUCAGGCAGGCUCGCGUCGGAAUACAUUAGCAUGGAAUAAUAGAAUAGGACUCAGUCCUCCUUUGUUGGUUUGAGGGGUCAGAGUAAUGGUUAAUAGGGAUAGUUGGGGGCAUUAGUAUUUGACUGUCAGAGGUGAAAUUCUCGGAUUUGUUAAAGACUAACUUAUGCGAAAGCAUUUGCCAAGGAUGUUUUCAUUAAUCAAGAACGAAAGUUAGGGGAUCAAAGACGAUCAGAUACCGUCCUAGUCUUAACCAUAAACUAUGCCGACUCGGGAUCGGGGGCCUGAUAAAUCUGCCCUCGGCACCGUAUGAGAAAUCAAAGUCUUUGGGUUCUGGGGGGAGUAUGGUCGCAAGGCUGAAACUUAAAGGAAUUGACGGAAGGGCACCACCAGGCGUGGAGCUUGCGGCUCAAUUUGACUCAACACGGGAAAACUCACCAGGUUCAGACACAGUAAGGAUUGACAAAUUGAUAGCUCUUUCUUGAUUCUGUGGGUGGUGGUGCAUGGCCGUUCUUAGUUGGUGGAGUGAUUUGUCUGGUUGAUUCCGUUAACGAACGAGACCUUAGCCUGCUAAAUAGUCUGGGUGCAUCUUGAUGCCCUUCGGCUUCUUAGAGGGACUUUGUGAGCAAACACAAGGAAGUUUGAGGCAAUAACAGGUCUGUGAUGCCCUUAGAUAUCCUGGGCCGCACGCGUGCUACACUGACGCUGACAGCGAGUAUUUCCAGCUCCGAGAGGCAGCUGGUAAUCAGCAAUCGGCGUCGUGAUGGGGAUAGACCCUUGGAAUUGUGGGUCUUGAACGAGGAAUGCCUAGUAAGCGCAGGUCAUCAGCCUGCGUUGAUUAAGUCCCUGCCCUUUGUACACACCGCCCGUCGCUCCUACCGAUUUCGAGUGGUCCGGUGAACCUUUGGGACCGCGUAUGGCUUGUCCAGGCGUGGAAACUCAAGUAAACCACAUCACUUAGAGGAAGGAGAAGUCGUAACAAGGUUUCCGUAGGUGAACCUGCAGAAGGAUCA